AUACCCUAGUUUCUCUUCAGAUAGUAGAAAUCUUUUGGCGUUUAUUAAAUAUUUCUGUAGAGAGGAACAAUCUUGAGUAUUUUUUUUUAUUGUUGAGGAUUCAUAAAAAUAUGGAAC
This is a small nuclear RNA of Nycticebus coucang (slow loris), 117 nucleotides long. RefSeq annotates it as U5 spliceosomal RNA. Lineage: Eukaryota; Metazoa; Chordata; Mammalia; Primates; Lorisidae. The transcript has a single exon. The record is from RefSeq and is a predicted model, not a curated record.